AAAGUCGUAACAAGGUCUCCGUAGGUGAACCUGCGGAGGGAUCAUUCACAUGAUUACCUUUUUCAACAAACCGUGAACUUUAUUUUACUAUUCGUGUGGUAAUUUGACUUAGGUCAAUUUAUUCACAUUGUCAUUCGAUGAACAUUAGAUAGCUGGCUUGAAAUUGAUUAUUUCUUUCUCAGCUGAUUGUUUGUAUUGACUAAACAUCUUACAACAAUCACCAUAUAAACAUAGAAACAACUCUAUGCCCUGGAUAUCUUGGUUCUC
Molecule: unclassified non-coding RNA, 267 nt
Filed under: Ascomycota sp.
Lineage: Eukaryota; Fungi; Ascomycota
Description: partial contains small subunit ribosomal RNA, internal transcribed spacer 1, and 5.8S ribosomal RNA
Rfam family: Eukaryotic small subunit ribosomal RNA (bases 1-47)
Source: RNAcentral